UACGUAGGGUGCAAGCGUUGUCCGGAAUUAUUGGGCGUAAAGAGCUCGUAGGCGGUUUGUCGCGUCGGCUGUGAAAACCUAGGGCUCAACUCUGGGCUUGCAGCCGAUACGGGCAAACUAGAAUUCGGUAGGGGAGACUGGAAUUCCUGGUGUAGCGGUGAAAUGCGUAGAUAUCGUUUGGAACGCCAAUGGUGAAAACAACUUGCUGGGGGUGUGCUGACGCUGAGACACGAAAGCCAGGGGAGCAAACGGG
RNAcentral lists this ribosomal RNA (253 nucleotides) under uncultured bacterium. RNAcentral's name for it is "partial 16S ribosomal RNA". It matches the Rfam family "Bacterial small subunit ribosomal RNA", at positions 524 to 776 of the family's 1533-position model. The record is from RNAcentral.